GAGAAAAAAACUAUAUUAUUAUAACAUCAUUAUCAGCUAGAUGUAGGUUGUUUAUUUUGAAUUUAGAAUGUAUAUCAUAAAUUAGGUUUAUUGUGAAAAUGGAAUUUGUUAUAGAUAAUGUAUUAGUCAUGAAAAUAUUUCAAGAAGACGUCCGCGUCUUCUUGAUCGUUAUCAUAUCCGCAUGAUAGUGACAAAUUAUUUCAUAUACUGCAGACAAGUGCAGGAAGUGGCUUACGCAAUGUUAUGUAUUAAUGUGCUCUGUAUUAGGAAAAUCUAUACCUAGAUAUUUUCACAGAAGCGUGCGGCGUGCGUGGCGGUGCUACGUUGUGGGUGAGCAGGAUAUUCUGUGGCUUGAGGUCCCGGUGCACGAUGCCCUUCGCGUGGAUGGCUCGCAUCGCCUCGGCCAGUUGCCUCAGGAACAGCCGGAUGGUGCUUUCACUGAGCAGACGGUUCGCUUGCAAAUAGUCCGCCAGGUCACCCCCGUUGCAGUACUGAACAAAUAAAACAAACGAUUCUUACAAUCUGUUGGCCAAUGGAGCCAUUGGAAUGAAUCCAGGAACGUUUUUUAACCACGUCAGUGAACGUCAAAGGGGAAAAAAUAAGUAACACCGACUCAAUAUUUAUGGAAGUGAUAGAUGUAUUUUAAGUGACUUCCCAACGCGAGGGAGGUCCUCAAUUAGUCGACAAAGUACGUAUAUUUUUGGUGUACUUAAAAACAACCUUCUGUUAGAUACCUAAAUAAAAUUUUGGGAAUUGUA
This is a long non-coding RNA of Helicoverpa zea (corn earworm), 758 nucleotides long. RefSeq lists it as uncharacterized. Lineage: Eukaryota; Metazoa; Arthropoda; Insecta; Lepidoptera; Noctuidae. The transcript is spliced from 2 exons. The record is from RefSeq and is a predicted model, not a curated record.